GAUGAACGCUGGCGGCGUGCCUAACACAUGCAAGUCGAGCGCGGUCCCUUUGGUGCUUGCACCAAAGAUGACUGAGCGGCGGACGGGUGAGUAACGCGUGGGUAACCUGCCCUGUACAUAUGGAUAACAUGCUGAAAAGCAUACUAAUACAUAAUAACGUACAUUGAAGGCAUCUUCAGUGUAUCAAAGCGUUAGCGGUACAGGAUGGACCCGCGUCUGAUUAGCUAGUUGGUGGGGUAAAAGCCCACCAAGGCAACGAUCAGUAGCCGGCUUGAGAGAGUGAACGGCCACACUGGAACUGAGACACGGUCCAG
This 314-nucleotide ribosomal RNA is filed under the name uncultured bacterium. Its description in RNAcentral is "bacterial SSU rRNA". It matches the Rfam family "Bacterial small subunit ribosomal RNA", at positions 28 to 334 of the family's 1533-position model. The record is from RNAcentral.